This 82-nucleotide transfer RNA is filed under the name Salmonella enterica subsp. enterica serovar Typhimurium str. LT2. Its description in RNAcentral is "tRNA-Tyr". It matches the Rfam family "tRNA". Rfam says of the family: Transfer RNA (tRNA) molecules are approximately 80 nucleotides in length. The record is from RNAcentral. Lineage: Bacteria; Pseudomonadati; Pseudomonadota; Gammaproteobacteria; Enterobacterales; Enterobacteriaceae. RNAcentral also lists the same sequence under 1 other name.
GUGGGGUUCCCGAGCGGCCAAAGGGAGCAGACUGUAAAUCUGCCGUCAUCGACUUCGAAGGUUCGAAUCCUUCCCCCACCAC